This 253-nucleotide ribosomal RNA is filed under the name uncultured bacterium. RNAcentral's name for it is "partial 16S ribosomal RNA". It matches the Rfam family "Bacterial small subunit ribosomal RNA", at positions 524 to 776 of the family's 1533-position model. The record is from RNAcentral.
UACGUAGGGGGCAAGCGUUGUCCGGAUUUAUUGGGCGUAAAGAGCUCGUAGGCGGCCUGUCGCGUCGGAUGUGAAAGCCCGGGGCUUAACCCCGGGUCUGCAUUCGAUACGGGCAGGCUAGAGUGUGGUAGGGGAGAUCGGAAUUCCUGGUGUAGCGGUGAAAUGCGCAGAUAUCAGGAGGAACACCGGUGGCGAAGGCGGAUCUCUGGGCCAUUACUGACGCUGAGGAGCGAAAGCGUGGGGAGCGAACAGG